UGGCGCGAGUGUGUUAGGACUGUUAGUUACUCAAGACGAAAUUCCGCCAUUUCUUAAAACACUGAUCGGAAUUUGGAAACCACAUGUUGAAAACGUAUCGUUGGAUUGGAUACUUAAUACGGCGUACUUUUCUUUCUUGACAUUUUUAUUCGUUAUAAUGGUAUCUAUCUGGUAACAGCCUAUAAUUUCUACAUGGCAAUUUCAUCUGAUCAUGUGGUGGCCUGAGCAGCUGAACAUUUUGCCAAAAUGUCCUUUUUCCUGUACCAGCGUCACGUUUGUCAGAAACACUUCAGAACAAUUUGGGAUUAACACCCUGGUAUCUGGUAACAGCCUCUAAUUUCUACAUGGCAAUUUCAUCUGAUCAUGUGGCCUGAGCAGCUGAACAUUUUGCCAAAAUGUCUCUUUUUCCUGUACCAGCUUCACGUUUGUCAGAAACACUUCAGAACAAUUCAGGAUUAACACCCUGGUGGAGUUUGAGCUUCUUUGUUGCUGCCCAACUUACACAUGGAUUUGACGUAGCCAGCUGAGGGCUUUAAUUCUUGUUGAUCAUGUAUGUUCGUGUAGUUGCUGUCCGAUGUGGGACGUUGUUGCUGCCUAUGCUGGUGAAAGAUCUUUCUACAUCAAGUUCAAUUGUCCGUUCCUUGGUGCUGAUGUUGUGUUACCGAAGUUGCAUCAUAUUUUGUUUAAUUGUCAUCGUGACUAUUGCAGUUUACCGUUUAUAAGUUCAGAAGCAACAAAAAAAAUUUGGGAUGUUUAUGUCAACAAAUAAUAAACAUGUUUCCGGGAUUGGGAAAGGAAAGUAGAGGAUGUUGGAGGGGGGAGGGAGGAUAUUUCAAGUUUGGAUAAAAAUUCAGUUAAUCUAUAACCCUACAAAUGUUGCCCUACCAAUUAAUCUCCAAACCCCACAAACAUAUACCUUCCAAUCCUUCAAACCCCGAAGUUUCACCUACUAUACACCUACUAACCCUUAAAUUUAUACCCUUAACCCUAUAAACCAAUGUUAAACCUUAACCAUGUAAUAUCCGUAAUAAAUAAAAAUAAAUAUAUUGCAUGAACUAA
Daphnia pulex (common water flea) is the source of this 1059-nucleotide long non-coding RNA. RefSeq lists it as uncharacterized. The transcript has 5 exons. The record is from RefSeq and is a predicted model, not a curated record. Lineage: Eukaryota; Metazoa; Arthropoda; Branchiopoda; Diplostraca; Daphniidae.